RNAcentral lists this ribosomal RNA (344 nucleotides) under uncultured bacterium. Its description in RNAcentral is "bacterial SSU rRNA". It matches the Rfam family "Bacterial small subunit ribosomal RNA", at positions 136 to 507 of the family's 1533-position model. The record is from RNAcentral.
GUAAGGGAUAAGCCACCGAAAGGUGGUCUAAUACCUUAUAGUAUCCAUCUCGUAUGGAUUAAAGCUUUAUGCGCUUUGGGAGGGGCCUGCGUUUGAUUAGCUAGUUGGUGAGGUAAAAGCUCACCAAGGCGACGAUCAAUAGCUGGUUUGAGAGGAUGACCAGCCACACUGGGACUGAGAUACGGCCCAGACUCCUACGGGAGGCAGCAGUAAGGAAUCUUCCACAAUGGGGCAACCCUGAUGGAGCAAUACCGCGUGCAGGAUGAAGCGUUUCGGCGUGUAAACUGCUUUUAUCACCGAAGAUUAUGACUGUAGGUGAAGAAUAAGGACCGGCUAACUACGUG